RNAcentral lists this ribosomal RNA (253 nucleotides) under uncultured bacterium. RNAcentral describes it as "partial 16S ribosomal RNA". It matches the Rfam family "Bacterial small subunit ribosomal RNA", at positions 524 to 776 of the family's 1533-position model. The record is from RNAcentral.
UACGAACUGUGCAAACGUUAUUCGGAAUCACUGGGCUUAAAGGGUGCGUAGGCGGUCCUUUAGGUAGGGUGUGAAAGCCCCCGGCUCAACCGGGGAAUUGCGCCCUAAACCGGGUGACUGGAGUGAGAUAGGGGUGUGUGGAACUUCCGGUGGAGCGGUGAAAUGUGUUGAUAUCGGAAGGAACGCCGGUGGCGAAAGCGACACACUGGGUCUCAACUGACGCUGAGGCACGAAAGCCAGGGGAGCAAACGGG